AGAGUUUGAUCCUGGCUCAGAAUGAACGCUGGCGGCGUGCUUAACACAUGCAAGUCGAACGGUAACAGGUCUUUCGGGAUGCUGACGAGUGGCGCACGGGUGAGUAAUGUAUAGGUAACGUGCCCCUUAGUCUGGGAUAGCCACUGGAAACGGUGAUUAAUACUGGAUACGCCUUCUAAUUUGAUAUUAGAAGGGAAAGGUUUUUCGCUAAGGGAUCGGCCUAUAUUGUAUCAGCUUGUUGGUGAGGUAAGAGCUCACCAAGGCGAUGACACAUAGCGGGUUUGAGAGGAUGAUCCGCCACACUGGUACUGAGACACGGACCAGACUCCUACGGGAGGCAGCAGUGAGGAAUAUUGCACAAUGGGGGAAACCCUGAUGCAGCAACGCCGCGUGGAGGAUGACGCAUUUCGGUGUGUAAACUCCUUUUAUAAGAGAAGAAGAUGACGG
Molecule: ribosomal RNA, 447 nt
Filed under: uncultured Campylobacterota bacterium
Lineage: Bacteria; Pseudomonadati; Campylobacterota
Description: bacterial SSU rRNA
Rfam family: Bacterial small subunit ribosomal RNA
Source: RNAcentral